GCAUAAUCCGCGCCCCACCACAACGCAACCUCUGAUAUUUUUCCAUUCUGAUUCCCUUUCUAUAAGAACCGCUUUCAUACAACCUUUCUUCAGAUCUCUUUUCUCUUCCUUUCCUUAAUCAAUUUAUAAUCUGUAUUAGAAUAGUGACUAACUAAAAGUUGGAAUCCAGGUUAAUUAAGAGGUAGAGCUUUGAGAAAUAAGAUAAAAUCACUGAGUCCAACAUGUUUGAAGAUGUUUGAGAUAUGUAUGGGACAUGACUAGCAUAUGUAGUUUUAAUGGAGUGUUAUAGUUAACUAAUAUAAUCAUAAAAUAUUCUGUAUACUAUGGAGGUAUGCAGAAAAGAUAGCUAAAUAACCG
This 357-nucleotide small RNA is filed under the name Histoplasma ohiense. RNAcentral's name for it is "hypothetical lncRNA". Lineage: Eukaryota; Fungi; Ascomycota; Eurotiomycetes; Onygenales; Ajellomycetaceae. The record is from RNAcentral.